Molecule: ribosomal RNA, 449 nt
Filed under: uncultured bacterium
Lineage: Bacteria
Description: partial 16S ribosomal RNA
Rfam family: Bacterial small subunit ribosomal RNA
Source: RNAcentral
CCUACGGGUGGCUGCAGUGGGGAAUUUUGGACAAUGGGGGCAACCCUGAUCCAGCCAUGCCGCGUGAGUGACGAAGGCCUUCGGGUUGUAAAGCUCUUUCGGCCGGGAGGAAAUCGCAUAGGUUAAUACCCUGUGUGGAUGACAGUACCGGAAUAAGAAGCACCGGCUAACUACGUGCCAGCAGCCGCGGUAAUACGUAGGGUGCGAGCGUUCAUCGGAAGUACUCGGGGUAAAUUGUGAGCAAGGCGUGAAAUCCCCGGGCUCAACCUGGGAACUGCGCUUGUGACUGGAAGGCUAGAGUAUGGCAGAGGGGGGUGGAAUUCCACGUGUAGCAGUGAAAUGCGUAGAGAUGUGGAGGAACACCGAUGGCGAAGGCAGCCCCCUGGGCCAAUACUGACGCUCAUGCACGAAAGCGUGGGGAGCAAACAGGAUUAGAUACCCGUGUAGUC